RNAcentral lists this long non-coding RNA (560 nucleotides) under Brachypodium distachyon (stiff brome). RNAcentral's name for it is "long non-coding RNA (BDIS_LNC005761)". The record is from RNAcentral. Lineage: Eukaryota; Viridiplantae; Streptophyta; Magnoliopsida; Poales; Poaceae.
GCCCGAGAAGCCACCCAAGGGCCACAAGCCGCCCCACCACCACCACCACGCCAAGCCUCCGGCUGGCUCCCACAAGCCGGCGCCUCCCACGGCCACUCCUCCCACGCCGGCGUACAAGCCACCCACGGCCACGCCUCCGGCUCCGACGCCACCGAAGUACACUCCGUCCCCGAAGCCACCGACGCCUAAGCCCACACCACCCACGUAUACCCCGACCCCGAAGCCGCCCACUCCCACACCAAAGCCCACGCCGCCAACGUACAAGCCGGCACCCAAGCCCACUCCUCCCACGUAUAAGCCCACACCCAAGCCCUCGCCGCCGACGUACCCGCCGAAGCCAACACCACCCACCUACAAGCCGGCGCCGAAGCCGACUCCCCCGACCUACAAGCCGGCGCCGAAGCCGACACCGCCCACCUACAAGCCCGCGCCGAAGCCGACGCCCCCGACCUACAAGCCGGACCCCAAGCCGACUCCCCCGACGUACAAGCCCGCGCCGAAGCCGGCCCCCAAGCCUACGCCCCCGAACUACAAGCCGGCGCCGAAGCCGACGCCGCCGU